Molecule: ribosomal RNA, 640 nt
Filed under: uncultured bacterium
Lineage: Bacteria
Description: bacterial SSU rRNA
Rfam family: Bacterial small subunit ribosomal RNA
Source: RNAcentral
GAAAGAUUCAUCGGAAGAGGAUGGGCAUGCGGCGCAUUAGCUUGACGGCGGGGUAACGGCCCACCGUGGCGACGAUGCGUAGGGGUUCUGAGAGGAAGGUCCCCCACACUGGUACUGAGACACGGACCAGACUCCUACGGGAGGCAGCAGUGAGGAAUAUUGGUCAAUGGGAGAGAUCCUGAACCAGCCAAGCCGCGUGAGGGAAGACGGCCCUAUGGGUUGUAAACCUCUUUUGUCGGAGAACAAAACCCGGGACGUGUCCCGGACUGCGUGUAUCCGAAGAAAAAGCAUCGGCUAACUCCGUGCCAGCAGCCGCGGUAAUACGGAGGAUGCGAGCGUUAUCCGGAUUUAUUGGGUUUAAAGGGUGCGUAGGCGGUCCGUUAGGUCAGCGGUAAAAUUGCGGGGCUCAACCCCGUCGAGCCGUUGAAACUGGCAGACUUGAGUUGGCGAGAAGUACGCGGAAUGCGCGGUGUAGCGGUGAAAUGCAUAGAUAUCGCGCAGAACUCCGAUUGCGAAGGCAGCGUACCGGCGCCAGACUGACGCUGAGGCACGAAAGCGUGGGGAUCGAACAGGAUUAGAUACCCUGGUAGUCCACGCAGUAAACGAUGAAUGCUGGUUGUCCGGGUCGAAUGAGACCUGG